This 256-nucleotide ribosomal RNA is filed under the name uncultured bacterium. RNAcentral's name for it is "partial 16S ribosomal RNA". It matches the Rfam family "Bacterial small subunit ribosomal RNA", at positions 524 to 776 of the family's 1533-position model. The record is from RNAcentral.
UACGAAGGGGGGCUAGCGUUGUUCGGAAUUACUGGGCGUAAAGCGCACGUAGGCGGCUUUGUAAGUUAGAGGUGAAAGCCCGGGGCUCAACCCCGGAAUUGCCUUUAAGACUGCAUCGCUUGAAUCCAGGAGAGGUGAGUGGAAUUCCGAGUGUAGAGGUGAAAUUCGUAGAUAUUCGGAAGAACACCAGUGGCGAAGGCGGCUCACUGGACUGGUAUUGACGCUGAGGUGCGAAAAGCGUGGGGGAGCAAACAGG